GCCUUCUCUCAACUGUCAGCUGCUCAGAAGUUUGUGGUGGGAGCAAAAGGGGUUGAUUUCUGCCAUUGCUGGAGCCGUUCCCAUCACUGAGUGAGAGAGAGGAGCUGGGAGAGGAGCUGCAUCCUUCUCGCCUCUGCUUUCCUCUGUCGGGGUUAGCAGAAAGGUUGAUCUCCAGAUGCUGCAGUUAAGGGCUUCAAGGACACCAGCAGGCCUUUCCCUCCUGGGCGCCUUCAGCAUCGUGCCAGGUGCAGGAUAGAGAUCAUGAUGGAGGGCCUGAUCUCCACUCGGUCUAGCAGCCUUUCCUGAGCUGGGCCUGUGCCAAAGUAAAAGUGCCCAGGAGAAGGAGUGGGAAUCGGAAAAGAAUGAAGGCAAAGCAAGCAAUGGAGGAUCCUGAUAGCUGUGUCUCCUGAUCCAUACUACAGUCCUGUAAGUGUUGAAGAACCUCUUGAAUUUGUCUUCCCCGAAGAUGGAGAGCAAAAAAGAGCUUCCCUUUCAACAUCUAACAAAGGAUCCCGUCCUGCUUCUGACGCACUGUUAUCAACACGAGUGCUGAGGUUGGCCCAGCCGGGUAAAUAUGCAUUGACAUAAUGACAAAUCUCUCCGGUGGCUGAGGGGAAUGGUGGGCCCUAGAGAAGGCAGGAAGAGGCUGAGGAGAGCAACCCCACAGCAGAUGCCCAUUUCCUUUCUGGCUAGGUUUGCAAAAGCCUCGUGUACACUCAAGGUCAAAAGGCUUUGGCAAAGAGGGGGCAUAGUUUCCCGGGAAACGACUUCACCCCAGAAGUGGAAUCCCACACCUUAGUUUACAGAGCUCCCUUCAAACUAGUUACUGAAGUUGCAGCCCAGGUUUGCACCCGUUCCAUCUCUUGAUUCCGAGUCUGGGUGCCCGACCUCCCCUCCUUCCCCUGGCUCUGCAUCCAGUGUGGGGUGCAAAUGUCACAUUCAGUCCUGGCAGGGUGCAAGAAACAAGGCUGGGCCCCACAGUGAACCAGUCUGUAGGGCCAAGCAAGGGGGCAGAGGGUGCGCUAGUGAAAGCGAUCCCCGCCCUCUCUUGGCCUUCUGCAGGGACACCUCGGCAUGCACUCACCCCCCUCAGGUGACAGUGUGGGAUUAGCCGGUCGCCAUUUGGGGCCGAGUAGGAAUUUUCCCCAUCCACCCGGAUUGGCUUGGAGGUGGCUGGUUUUUCGCCUACUCUGCACUGUUGCACUGGAAGGGAUUUCUGAUCUGGCGGAUGUUAGGAGUGGUGCCGCUAAAUAGUGUAGCCCCUUGGUCACCAUGGCAGGUCCGGGGGGGGGAUGCAGUGCCCCACCCCAUUGGUGGCAGGUGCGAUUUCCCCCAGCUGCAUGGCAGUUCUCCGCUAAAAUGAGUCAAUAAAGUGAUGGCCGUAGUUUC
Hemicordylus capensis (graceful crag lizard) is the source of this 1389-nucleotide long non-coding RNA. RefSeq lists it as uncharacterized. The transcript is spliced from 4 exons. The record is from RefSeq and is a predicted model, not a curated record. Lineage: Eukaryota; Metazoa; Chordata; Lepidosauria; Squamata; Cordylidae.